CAGUAGGGAGGAAGGUAGUGUAGUUAACACCUGCAUUAUUUGACGUUACCUACAGAAGAAGCACCGGCUAACUCCGUGCCAGCAGCCGCGGUAAUACGGAGGGUGCGAGCGUUAAUCGGAAUUACUGGGCGUAAAGCGCAUGCAGGCGGCCUGUUAAGUCAGAUGUGAAAGCCCGGGGCGUUAACCUCGGAAUUGCAUUUGAAACUAGGCAGGCUAGAGUCUUGUAGAGGGGGGUAGGAAGUUUCAGGUGUAGCGGUGAAAUAGCGUAGAGAUCUGAAGGAAUACCAGUGGCGAAGGCGGCCCCCUCGGACAAAGACUGACGCUCAGAUGCGAAAGCGUGGGGAGCAAACAGGAUUAGAUACCCCUGGUAG
RNAcentral lists this ribosomal RNA (371 nucleotides) under uncultured bacterium. RNAcentral's name for it is "bacterial SSU rRNA". It matches the Rfam family "Bacterial small subunit ribosomal RNA", at positions 434 to 793 of the family's 1533-position model. The record is from RNAcentral.